This 226-nucleotide ribosomal RNA is filed under the name uncultured bacterium. Its description in RNAcentral is "partial 16S ribosomal RNA". It matches the Rfam family "Bacterial small subunit ribosomal RNA", at positions 109 to 334 of the family's 1533-position model. The record is from RNAcentral.
AGUAAUGCAUCGGAACAUGUCCAUUCGUGGGGGAUAGCCCGGCGAAAGCCGGAUUAAUACCGCAUACGCCCCGAGGGGGAAAGCGGGGGACUUCGCAAGAGGCCUCGCGCGAAUGGGUUGGCCGAUGUCCGAUUAGCUAGUUGGUGGGGUAAAGGCUUACCAAGGCGAUGAUCGGUAGCUGGUCUGAGAGGAUGAUCAGCCACACUGGGACUGAGACACGGCCCAG